AGUGGUUCUAACCAGUUCAACAGUUCUCUACUGAAAUUGUGAAAUGUUUAGGACCACUUG
Molecule: microRNA precursor, 60 nt
Filed under: Petromyzon marinus (sea lamprey)
Lineage: Eukaryota; Metazoa; Chordata; Hyperoartia; Petromyzontiformes; Petromyzontidae
Description: Pma-Mir-203-o2-v1_pre stem-loop
Rfam family: mir-203 microRNA precursor family
Source: RNAcentral